CAAAGGCCUGGUCCUGACUUUACUAUCGACUCUAGCUGGACUUACACAUGCAAGUAUCCGCACCCCUGUGAGAAUGCCCUACAGUUCCCCCUCCGGGAACAAGGAGCUGGUAUCAGGCACAGACCUCUGGCCCACGACACCUUGCUUAGCCACACCCCCAAGGGAACUCAGCAGUGAUAAACAUUAAGCUAUAAGUGAAAACUUGACUUAGUUAAAGCUAAGAGGGCCGGUAAAACUCGUGCCAGCCACCGCGGUUAUACGAGAGGCCCAAGUUGAUAGACAUCGGCGUAAAGAGUGGUUAAGAGCACGACACACUAAAGCCGAAUGCCUUCACAGCUGUUAUACGCACUCGAAGGUAAGAAGCCCAAUUACGAAAGUAGCUUUAUAAAACCUGAACCCACGAAAGCUAAGACACAAACUGGGAUUAGAUACCCCACUAUGCUUAGCCCUAAACAUCGACAACAUAACACACCUGUUGUCCGCCCGGGGACUACAAGCACUAGCUUAAAACCCAAAGGACUUGGCGGUGCUUUAGAUCCACCUAGAGGAGCCUGUUCUAGAACCGAUAAUCCCCGUUCAACCUCACCCCUUCUUGCUCAACCCGCCUAUAUACCGCCGUCGUCAGCUUACCCUGUGAAGGUCUAAUAGUAAGCAAAAUUGGCAUAGCCCAGAACGUCAGGUCGAGGUGUAGCGUAUGGAGGGGGAAGAAAUGGGCUACAUUCCCUAAUCUAGGGAACACGAAUAAUAUGCUGAAACGCAUACUUGAAGGAGGAUUUAGCAGUAAGCAUGAAAAGUAGAGUGUUCUGCUGAAACCGGCCCUGAAGCGCGCACACACCGCCCGUCACUCU
Molecule: non-coding RNA, 848 nt
Filed under: Sillago ingenuua (bay sillago)
Lineage: Eukaryota; Metazoa; Chordata; Actinopteri; Sillaginidae
Description: partial 12S ribosomal RNA
Rfam family: Bacterial small subunit ribosomal RNA
Source: RNAcentral